ACUGCCGGUGACAAACCGGAGGAAGGUGGGGAUGACGUCAAGUCCUCAUGGCCCUUAUGGGUAGGGCUUCACACGUCAUACAAUGGUCGGGACAGAGGGUCGCCAACCCGCGAGGGGGAGCCAAUCUCAGAAACCCGAUCGUAGUCCGGAUCGCAGUCUGCAACUCGACUCCGUGAAGUCGGAAUCGCUAGUAAU
RNAcentral lists this ribosomal RNA (195 nucleotides) under Alcaligenes faecalis. RNAcentral describes it as "partial 16S ribosomal RNA". It matches the Rfam family "Bacterial small subunit ribosomal RNA", at positions 1148 to 1342 of the family's 1533-position model. The record is from RNAcentral. Lineage: Bacteria; Pseudomonadati; Pseudomonadota; Betaproteobacteria; Burkholderiales; Alcaligenaceae.